Molecule: long non-coding RNA, 3401 nt
Organism: Papaver somniferum (opium poppy)
Lineage: Eukaryota; Viridiplantae; Streptophyta; Magnoliopsida; Ranunculales; Papaveraceae
Exons: 5
Source: RefSeq, a predicted model, not a curated record
UUCCGGAAUGAGUAAUUUGGGGAGAGAAAAAAGGUAUAACGGGAGACAUAGCCACCGUCGAUCGGGCGAUCCUGGGGCCAGGAUAUAUCAUUGGGCGAGAGAUAUAUCCGUUCGUCCGCUCAUCCUUAGGAGUAAUUCGGGACCGUUCGAUUUUCUACCCGAAUUCUUAUUGUUCCUAACGCGGAUAAGUCGAGAUCGGUUUCUUCUCUUUUCUUUUAGCUGAAGAGAUUGUUCAGUCGAAGAACUUUUCUCUGGCUCAAGAACAAUCAAUCGCCACCAUCAACAACAGUUGAUCACUGCAAUUCGAAAAAAUCCACAAUUGACGCAGAUUUCCUUUCCGAACCCAAAUUUUGGGUUUAAUUCUUUUCGGAUUAAUGAUUGACUCAGGUUAAAGGUCACGAACUGGGGAAGGAUUCUCUCACUAUUGAAUUGACGAGAGAUUUUGUCUUAACAAAGAUUAAAUUUGAACAUUCUUUCCGGGUGCUGUCUAAUCAAGAUUCCGUUGUUGUGAACAGAUAAGAGGUUCUUUGAUCCACCUAAUUCUGUAUUUGUUUAGGUUUCUUCGUAGCUUGACAUCCCUGUGAACAUUACUUAUCUUACCACCAGUUUCAUUCAGAAACAACUUCUACAAAGGAAAAUUGAAGAUUAGCUAGAGAGACUAUAUGUAAUAGACUUCUUUUUUGUAUUUGAGAAAAAUUCCACGUUUGUUGAUUACUAACUGGAACUGCCACUGGAUAAGAUUCCCACAAAUUGUUGUGGUUCAAGAUUCACUAUUUUUGCUGAUGAGCAGAAACUGAAACCUAGGAUUUUAUCUAAUGUUUUUUUUUCUUUCCGUUUUUUCUCUGAUUUGUUUUGCAGACUUUUUCUUUUUGUUUAUUGUUUAAUCUUAUUCACAUCAAGGGUUCAUAUUAUUCGCCAUCUAACCCUGAAUCUAACCCCGGUUUUUUUUUUUUUGGUUUGAUUUCCCCUCACCACCCUCUUAUCUUAUUCGUCGAAUUACGAGACGUUGUAAUGAUUAGUGUCAAGCAUGUCUUCUUCUUCCUUUUACAAGCCAGCUAUCGAUUGAAAAAAAAGAGCACAGUACUGGUGUGUUCUUUUAGGGACAAACAGGAAGGGAUAUUAUAUUCGUCCGUCCGUAUCUGCUUCUUAAUGCGGACGUCCAUUCCUUUCUCAGCUGAUAUAUUUGUGUUUCUAAGGAAUAAUGUUCUGAAAGAAGGUAUGCAUGUUUUGUCAGUCUUUCUUUCUUUAAGUUAUUAAGGUUGGAUUCACAGAUAAUCAUGUUGUUAUCUCCUUCGAAAAGCAGUUAAAGUUAUUUUUAUAGGUGGUUUCUACCAUUGGCGUUGCAAUUCUCUUGCUAUACUAAGAUCGACUAUCAACUGGUAUUGCAGUAAUUGACUUCUAACUGAUUGAUAUUGUGAGAAUGGAAGAUAAACUCUAUAGCAACAGAACAAAGUAUGCAUUUAGUUUAGGGCAUCCUAAUGUUUUGAAGAGUAAACUCUAUUGCUGGUGAUGAACGAUGAGUGCCACUGGUGGAGAAAUUGGCGGGUGCCGUAAUUUAAACGGACAGGAAAUAGUUGGCGUUGAUGGCUGUAACAGACAUGAAGAAGAUUUAGUAAGGAUGAAAUGGGUAUUGGCUUGAUUUUCUAUGUGGCUGUUUAAUCGAGUCAGGUGGGAUUGAUGAGUUGAAUCUGCAAUGGGUUCAUGCUGAGAAAUGGAAGAAAGAUGGCAGCGACAGUUGGUGUAAGUGGUGUUCAGAUGGUCCAGUAGUGGUCUUGAUGCCGAGAACUGCAAUGGGUCAGUUGAAGGUAUUGAUUCGAUGAGAAAGAGGAUAUGAGCUAUCACGUUAAAGGUAAGUGCAAUCGGGAUAUUGAGAUACAUGAUUGAAAGACUGGCAUAGUUGUUGAUAGGUAGUUCUGUUUGUUCAUUGUUAAGUUGAAUUCACUUUUAUAUGUUUAGUUCCGUUGCCUAUUCAACUAGAAACGGAGUACCCACAGUAGGUAAUUUUGGGAAAAUUACAUGGUUUUCUAAUAGCCUGAAUCUUUGAAUAUUGCUACACUACUACACAUGUUGUAUAUCACCUAAUGUUUUGUCGUCAAAAUUUAGGAACAUAUAAACUCUAUCUUCUGGCUGUGAAGUGUUAUAGAAUAAUAUUGUUUUCCAAAUGGUAGUCAGCUGUAUCAACGCUAAACCAGUUUAAGUUAAGAAGUAAAGAUGCUGCCAACUACAUUACUAUUUGCAACACCAUUGUAAAUUUUAGCUAGAUCGCUUAAUAAUGUAACACGAAAAAGCAAAAAACUGCGAAUUACGAUUUCGGUGUGGGAUCAGUCGACAGAAAGCUAAUAUAGGGUUGGUGAAUAUAUGGAAAGAGGAGUUUUUUGGAGGAAGUAAUGCAGAUAGCUAGAGCUUGGUGCGAAGGUAAAUUUUGUUUUAACUUUUCUUGGUUUUUUGCUUCAAUCUUCUCAUGCUAAGAGGAUAAUAUAAAGGUUUAACCAUGAUUUAGCUAAUUACAAAACCGAAUCAUGUCAUGUUGUGUACUGUACGAGGGCUGUACUUUACUGCACUCGAUUUAGUGGGGCUGUUUUCUAUUUCUCGAAGAAGAUUUUUCAACCUCACAAGUCGUACUACCCUGGGUCCAGUUAUAAUGUAUGGAUCCGAUAUUAGAGCUACCGUUGUUCAGGUUAUUUGACAGAAGCUUUUAAAGACCGCGGCAAAAUUAAGAAGCAUUCCUGUAAAUGUAAGCGCCUUACAAUAGACACAAUAUUUCUCAGGAAUCUUAAUUCAAACUACUGCCCAUUGCCAACAACUAGAAAAAGUACAGAGCUGCACAGGGAAUUACGCUGGCAUGGUGUAGUAUUGAAGUUAGCGAGAUUGAUACAUUUAUUAGAAAAAGAGGUGACUGUAUAUUUAGGCGACGUUAACCAUACUGAUAACAACUAUUUAGUAUUAUGAAUAUAAGUUAGUUAUCAUGUGCAUCUAUAAUGAAAUUUUUAUUUUUGUUUAUAUACAGUGAUGAUUCAAUGCAUCUUAAUUCGAUAAGCUCAAAUAAAACUGAGAAAGCUGUAAUUCCUAUCUUGUAAGAGGCUUCGGUAUUAUUGAUGUUGCAGCCUUUAAAAAAGUGUGCCUCAGAGUUUUUUCAUGUAAGAAAUUCCGUAGCUAUGAUUAAAGGACCAUGGUGGAAUGUACCCACUGGGCCAAGAGAUGGGCAAGUAUCGACUAUUAGGAACCCGCGGUAUUGAGUUUGCUAAUGAUGCAGUUGCCAAGAGGCGCUUGAAUAAGAACAAUAAUGGAGGUUAAAAAAACGGAAUUUCAUUGUCUAUUGUCCUAAUCCUAACACUAACAUCUGGAAUUGAUGUGAGAGAAGAAAGAAUAUGAUUUGUCUUGAUUGUAGGCAUUGGUCGACA